UAAUGGUCAUGCCGCGACGGUCGUCCGAGAGGACGCGAAAAAGGGAACGCGGUGCGAGGCGCAAACCUCUAAAUCCGCGGCUGUGCCCGCAACUGUAAGCGGCGAGCGCUCCCGCCACUCAAGCCACUGGACCCGAAACGUGGGCCCGGGAAGGCGGCGGAAGCGCGAUUGAGCCGUGAAGCCAGGAGACCUGCCGCCGCACGUCGCUCGUU
Molecule: non-coding RNA, 212 nt
Filed under: Pseudomonadota bacterium
Lineage: Bacteria; Pseudomonadati; Pseudomonadota
Source: RNAcentral